This 253-nucleotide ribosomal RNA is filed under the name uncultured bacterium. RNAcentral describes it as "partial 16S ribosomal RNA". It matches the Rfam family "Bacterial small subunit ribosomal RNA", at positions 524 to 776 of the family's 1533-position model. The record is from RNAcentral.
GACGAACCGUGCGAACGUUGUUCGGAUCCACUGGGCUUAAAGGGCGCGUAGGCGGGCGGUCAAGUCGGGGGUGAAAUCUUUCCGCUUAACGGGAAGCGUGCCUCCGAUACUGAUCGCCUCGAGGGAGGUAGGGGCAUGUGGAACUUCCGGUGGAGCGGUGAAAUGCGUAGAUAUCGGAAGGAACGCCGGUGGCGAAAGCGACGUGCUGGACCUCUUCUGACGCUGAGGCGCGAAAGCUAGGGGAGCAAACGGG